GAUGGACCAGAAUCAAAUUAGAUAAGAUCGAUGGUUGAUAUAUGUAAGCAUUUUAGUUAUUCUAAUUACACCCAUUAUUUAACGAGUUAUAUGUAUUUCACGUAACGCUUAUAGGUCUAAUAUUCGAUUUGGAAGACUGAUGAGACGCAAGCUUCAGAUCAAGAUCGAGUUCACCGGUGUUACCGGACACGGAUAUUUCAGGAUCUGGAUGUCCGAGACAAGGAUCAGUCAAUCCUUGUUUCCAAACAGCCUCUGUGGGCGACCCAGUGUGAUCAUCAUCAUUACAUGGAAUGGAACUAUUUUCCUCAACGUUGCCGGCCGAAACCUGUUGAAUAUAUAGAUUGAUGAUUCAAGAUUUUAAGUUUUUAUGACAAAUCAAGAAAAGAUAUUUUCAUAUACCAUUCUUAUUAUAUAAAGCUUAGACUAUAGUAAAAUAUCCACAUUUUUGCUUAUAAAGAUUUUGACAUCUGGAGUGGUAAAAAUGUUGUCAGAAAGUGGUAAGAAUAUUUGGAAAUUAUAUUAUUAAAAACAUACAAAUUAUGCCUGAUCCUUUUGAAGAUGUGACAUUUUUCCGUUAUGGACUUUCCUUAAAACCAUUGAAGUUUUUACUUUACCUACGAAGAGUUUAAUUUCCUUUUGUUAUAUAGAAAUUAGAAAAUAAGAUUGGAACGUUGACCAAAAAAAGAAAAUAAGAUUGGAACUUGCCAUAUCGAAGAGGCUAGUGCGGCGUCUCUUGUGAUGGAGAGUGGUGGCUUGACGAAUGAAGUAUUUUUGAGCAUGACUUGCCACUUGUGUCGGAGAUUUUGUGACGACGAAGUUUCUAGAGAUUCCUCUCCAAUCUCCUUUACCAAGCUUCUCUAAUCCAAUUAGAAACAUCUGGUGCUCUUUUUCCGUCCAUGGAACCCCUACUCAUAAAGACAAAUUAAAAUGAUCUCAUUAAUUAAAAAAAGCCUUAACAAAAGCUAACGAUUAUAAAUACAAUAUUUUUUGUCCGCAAUGAAGCGGUUGCAUCGCAUGCUAUUCUAGUUUGAUUAAUUAACUUCAGAACAGUUGAUUAUAACACGGUUAUAUGGCACAUCUUUGUGAGAAGUGUUUAACUUUAUAUGAUAAUAUAUUCUGCAACUUUAUAACAUGUCAAUACUUAUCAUAGUCCGACGGACAAACCCAAACAAGAAUGUAAAAAUAUGUCAAAGCUGUAACCUUUUUUGCGGUCGGGUGUCUUGUGGGUGAGACCGUCGGAGAGAUAACCGGCGAAGGAAGAGGAAGAGGAGGAACAUGCGGGUAAGCAAUCCAUGCUAAAGCUUUUCUUCAUUGCGGCAGCCAAAAUUGACGAAGGUGGAGGAGAACUGGGACCUGGUGGUGGUGAAGAGCCUGUGGUGUCUACAUGAACACCAAAGAGCUUAAUGACUCUGGUUUUGUUGGAAAAACAUGUUCUUGAAUUAUGUCCUACGCUUCCACAGUGUGAGCAUUUCCUGCCCAUUGCAAUGAAUAAGCAAGAGGAAAGAGAAAGAAAGAGAUUAUGUUGAUGAUGAGGAGAGAUUUUGGGGUUUAUGUAGAAUGGCGGAGAGCAUAGAGAUAGAAGAUGAUUGGAUAGGCGAAGUUUAUUUAUUGGAGGAUGCAACAACUUAAAUGAUGUAGUCCAAGUUGGUGUAUUUCUAUGUUUAGCCAAUAAAAAUGCGAGUUUACGCUAGAAAAGGGGGAUGGAAAGCUGUCUUUAUCAGUGGGGUUUUGUCAUUAAUAUGGACUAAAAUGUAGAUUAUAAUCUAACUGAAGUGGUCAUAACUGAAGUGGACUAAAAUUUUCCCGUAGUUUUUUUAUUUGAACUUGAUUUUGCUUUGAAUUUAUGUUUUAUAGAAUCUGUGAUUUGAAAAGAGAACGAGGUAUACAUAGCAAUUAACAAGAAGGGAAUACAUAUGAAUUAUAGUUACAAAAAAUAUGUAUCAUAUAAAGGCUUACAUCCUUCAUAAGAAAUGUAGCUUCCUGGUUGAGAGAGGGAAGACAUGGAUCCUCCAAUAGUCUUGGGCUGGUGUGUAGUUGGAUCAUGGAUGACCUAAUAAAAUGUGAAUAAAUAAAAACAAAACUACAUUUAUUUACUAUUUUGUAAACUAGAAAAUGACAAAAGAGCCUUAUUUAUUCGACAAAGACGUAUUAUAUAUUAAUUUUUUUUGUUUGAUGGUAAAUAUAAUUUGGAUCUUAUGUUUUCCAAUAUAUUAGUUGGACGGAAGAGUCAUCCACAUACUAUAUUUUAUUUUACUUAAAAGAUUGCCUGAUUUGUUAAGAUAUGUGUAAUCGAUAACAUUAUUAAUCAAUAGUAGACAACGCACUACUAUCCAACAAGCAAGUAGCUAUUUAUUAUCAAUGGUAGAAUUGGUCCGCAAUAUGGAUUGCUUAGUUCGGAAUGUCGAACUAGUAAUUAGUAUUGGAGGACAAUGAUGACGAUUCAUAUAUAAUAAUGUAUUAAUGUUGAUUCUAUCUUCUUUUGCAUUUAGAAAAAUAUAAUGUUGAUUCCUUUCUUGUCAAAGAUUCAUGUUGAUUCAGCAUUUUGUGAUUGUAAUAUUGGAACAGUUCUUUUAAAACAAGACCGUAAAAGAUAUAUUGUUGCACAUAAUAAUAGUUUUCAAUGAUAUGCUUAUAUGCAAUCACAAAAAUAGAAAUGUCCAUUCAUCAUUGCUUCAAGUUAAUUUGGUUCCAUUUCUACAAAAAAAAAAACAGUUGACAAAAAAAAAUUGAGGAAAACUUUACAAAUCGUCAUGUAUAGCUUUUCACUAUAGUGUAUUAUAUUAUGAGUAAUGUAGUGACAAAAAAAAUCAAUGUUGCAUGGAAAAUUAACAUUUUCACUAUACGAGUAAUGUAGAUUCUGAGCAUUUUAAUGACAAUUUGACAUGGUUCUACACUUAAAAUAAGACUCAUACUGGUGAAAGACAGAAGAUUGUUGACAAAGGAUCUUAUUUAUUAUUGGACGACGAGCCUUAAUUCAGACUUGUGCAAGGGUUGUUCACAUAUUGGUACAUGGAAACAAUUCAGAUUUUUUUUUUUGAUUUUCUUCUUCUUUGUAAGGGAUGUCACUUAUCAGUGAAUUUAUGCACCAUUGUUAAGUUAUACAUGUGGUUAUAUUGAUAAUUUGUAAAGUUUUUCUCAAUUAUUUUUUUGUCAGUUGUUUUUUUUUGUAGAAGUAGAACCAAGUUACUUUGAAACUAUGAUGAAUAGAGAUUGUAUUGAAUAUAGCAAACUCUUAGUUUAUUAACAUUUUCAUUUACUCUCAUGAUUUGCUAAAAAAACUUGUAACAGUAGUUGGUUAAUGAUGUUUUCUAUUUGUAGAGGAUGUAUCUUAGGACCAAUUUGUUAAAAACUUUGAUUGUCUUACUGUAAUUUGUUAAAAACUUUAAUUUUGUAUAAAUAAUUCGCUUAAAUUCCAUAAACUUCAUUCGACUAGUUCAAUGAUUGUUUUUUAUAAUGUCUCUGGUUAAAAAUUCUCCAAAAUCCGCUACUGCUUAUUCGUUUAGUUGCCAGACGAUGCAACAUAAAGAUUUGGAAGAAUGUCGGAAACACACAUUAUGAAGUUGUUGCUUUGAGAUUAAUAUAAUGACUACGGAUGAUAGGUAUUUUCAUAUAAAAACUUGACAUUCAGAUCCAAAAAUGGAUUGUUUGAGCUUGUAUCCUUAGAUAACUUGGUCUAUACUAGUAGAAAGGUGUUACAGUCCACUGAUGAAUAUCAAAUAUUUUUCUUAGUCUAUGCGGAAAAAAAAAAGAAUAUCAUAUUAACAAACAUGAACCGUCUUGUUGUAUUGGAUCCUUGAUUGGGUAAGACUUUUUAUUAAUGAAUGGGUUGCCCAAAAAAGUUUCUUUUGCUUUGAGAUUUCGCAAAAAGAGACCAAUAUUUUUUGAACUUAUAUAAAUCGAUUUCUUACAAAGAAUUAAAUGUAGAUCUCCAAAUCUUAAAUCUGAAAACUAAUUAUGCAAAUAUGAAAUCCCUUUUUUACCUUAGAGAAGUUCCUUAAAAAGACGAUAUCAGAUUGCAUAAAAUGUUCUAUGACUCAUUUUAUUUAAGGUUAUCCACAUCCUGCAUUACAAAGACAGUAAAUUAAGCUAGUUAGCAUAGUAAGGAGCUUUUUUAUUCAGAUAGUUCUAUUAAAAGAGGAAAAUAUAAUUAAAACUGAUAAAAAUUAGAUAUACAUUUUUAUUUUAAAAUUAUAUUAUGAAUCAAAGUGUUGAUGCUCUGUAUUCGCGACCAUAAAUAUUUCAAUCCCUUAUCAAACUUAUGAGUGAACACUCAUACAUGUAUUUUCUUGCAUUUUUAUUUGAAAUUUUUUUUUCAAACUAUAUAUAUAUAUAUCAAACUUGCUAAACUUUAGGACAAACAAAGAACUCUAAGCUAGUGGUUUCAUUAAUAUAGUCGUAAGAUGAUCUUGGUUCAAGUGGGAUAGCCUAAUAUCCAAAAUCUCAACCAAGAAAAGAAAAAUGGCUUUUUCAUAUCUAUUGAUCUUAGUCCUCCAAUCACUUUGUUUCCUUUCCAGUAGUAGUGUCACUAUUAACACAGCUUGCACUUUAAUAUAGAAAUGUUUAAAAUGUGUAUUGUUUUCCCCAACAACUAAAUUAUUUCGAUUCUGAAAAGUACUCUCGGUUCUGUAUUAAAGUGGAUUCCAAAUUAUUCUAUGUAGAAGAUAUAGCUCGGCAACUAAGAAUUUAUGUAUGCAUUGUUACAACUCUACUGUAUUCGAUUAAGUUGACAAAAGAAAAAAAGGUUUGCUGAAUCGCUUUUGGGCACGCAAGGCAAAAAUCUCUGGUUAAAAACUUUAUCAUUGAAAAAAAAAAACUUUAUCAUUGCUUAUAGAAAUAAAUGUGGACGCAAGGCAAAAAUCUCACAAUGAUAAAGAAAUAUUCACCAAAACUAAGAUGGACCAGAAUCAAAUUAGAUAAGAUCGAUGGUUGAUAUAUGUAAGCAUUUUAGUUAUUCUAAUUACACCCAUUAUUUAACGAGUUAUAUGUAUUUCACGUAACGCUUAUAGGUCUAAUAUUCGAUUUGGAAGACUGAUGAGACGCAAGCUUCAGAUCAAGAUCGAGUUCACCGGUGUUACCGGACACGGAUAUUUCAGGAUCUGGAUGUCCGAGACAAGGAUCAGUCAAUCCUUGUUUCCAAACAGCCUCUGUGGGCG
RNAcentral lists this long non-coding RNA (5153 nucleotides) under Brassica napus (rape). RNAcentral describes it as "long non-coding RNA (BNAP_LNC002155)". The record is from RNAcentral. Lineage: Eukaryota; Viridiplantae; Streptophyta; Magnoliopsida; Brassicales; Brassicaceae.